AUUGAACGCUGGCGGAAUGCUUUACACAUGCAAGUCGAACGGUAGAGGGGGCAACCCCUCGAGAGUGGCGAACGGGUGAGUAAUAUAUCGGAACGUGCCCAGUCGUGGGGGAUAACGUAGCGAAAGUUACGCUAAUACCGCAUACGGUCUAAGGAUGAAAGCGGGGGAUCGCAAGACCUCGCGCGAUUGGAGCGGCCGAUAUCAGAUUAGGUAGUUGGUGGGGUAAAGGCUCACCAAGCCAACGAUCUGUAGCUGGUCUGAGAGGACGACCAGCCACACUGGAACUGAGACACGGUCCAGACUCCUACGGGAGGCAGCAGUGGGGAAUUUUGGACAAUGGGCGAAAGCCUGAUCCAGCCAUUCCGCGUGCAGGAUGUAGGCCCUCGGGUUGUAAACUGCUUUUGUACAGAACGAAAAGGUUUCUACUAAUACUAGGAGCUCAUGACGGUACUGUAAGAAUAAGCACCGGCUAACUACGUGCCAGCCGCCGCCGUAA
RNAcentral lists this ribosomal RNA (496 nucleotides) under uncultured bacterium. RNAcentral describes it as "partial 16S ribosomal RNA". It matches the Rfam family "Bacterial small subunit ribosomal RNA", at positions 30 to 523 of the family's 1533-position model. The record is from RNAcentral.